Non-coding RNA from Acanthosepion pharaonis, 110 nucleotides. NCBI's taxonomy places the organism in Eukaryota, Metazoa, Mollusca, Cephalopoda, Sepiida, Sepiidae. The record is from the annotation of a GenBank genome assembly.
CAGCCACAUCAUGUUGACACACCAGUUCCCAUACGAUCACCGAAGUUAAACAACAUCGAGUCUGGUCAGUACCUAAAUGGGUGACCGUUUGGGAAUACAAAUGCUGUAAG